Molecule: long non-coding RNA, 6459 nt
Filed under: Eucalyptus grandis
Lineage: Eukaryota; Viridiplantae; Streptophyta; Magnoliopsida; Myrtales; Myrtaceae
Description: long non-coding RNA (EGRA_LNC003527)
Source: RNAcentral
GCCAUUAUACUUCCAACUUUCCAGAGAAACAAAGAAUUCAAAAGAAAUAUUCAAAAAGGAAAUUUAGUACACAAGGUGGCACUGCUUGGAUGGUAAUGUUCCUUCUGAAAAGUUUCCAUAAGAAGGCAGUUUGAAAAUCUCUCCAGAAUUGCCCACCGUAGAUCGCAUGGAGAUAGAAUGGAGAUCUUUUCAGCUUAACAUUCUUAUCAUAAAUAUCAAGGCGCAAAGCUUUUUUCUUCUUCUUGUAAACAUUUUAAGAAAACUAUUCGAAAUAAAAAAGGAUAUUUACACUAGCACUCUGCUGAAAAUGGAGAAUGCAGACUUCAGGUUUGUAAAUGACUAGCCACUCAAGAAGGAAAAACUAUAUUAGGUAUUGAUUGCACAAUGUGAGGUGCUGACAUUAUAUUCACAAUUUAUUAAGUGCCAUUGUUCAUUACACAUUGAUCAAAUGCAUACGCCAUAUCACCCAUAUACAUUUUCUUCAAAACGACAUAGUUUUCCUCCAACAAAAAUUCAUUGCAGCCAUUGCAAGGACGGCUACGGUCCAUUGGCCUCACUUUUGGAAGAUAUGAAAAUGCCAUAUGACCUCAUUCUAUGAUAGCGGCCGGAAUAGAAUUAAUACCACCGACAUUUUUUGGAACCAAUAACAAGGACCACCAAGCACAUUGUGGCUACCCUCAGCACCCAGCACCGCCAAAGUGGCCAUCCAGGGCCAUUGAUUUUAUCCAUUGGUUCGACUGGCGGACCCAGCCCAGCCGAAGCCUAUUAAAUCAAAAGAGAAAAAAAAAAAUGUAUGUUUCUCUGACUGUUGGCCUCAUUUUACCAAGUCUUAUCGCCAAAUCAGUACCAAAAGCUAAAGUGUCACUUAGCAAAACACAGGAAAGUAAUUCUAAACUUUGAAGCCGUUUCACCAAACUUUCACUAGUUUUUGCUGAACCCAGCGAUAUAAACAUAAAACUCGAAGUAUUUUGAGUGACCUUAGCUAUAUAUACCGACGAUAGUCGCUAAUCUAGAACGAAUCUGUUAUCUGCAAAUCACGUCGGUCACUAGGAUCUAAUCCACCAAAAUUGAUAGGAUGCUGAAUAGAACAUUUUUUCAUGAGUUGUGCUCGAUGCAAUGAGCCUCCCAUUUUCCAGCCACCCAUCGGCCAACCUUGUGGUCAGAUUGCGUGAUGCCCAAGACACAUGCGUGUUGUUACCACUGCACCAAGGCCAUGUUGGUUGAACUCUAAAAGAAAUUAAGGAUUUUAUUUCGGGACGAGUAACUGAUAACAAAAAAUAAUUGUCUGACAAACUACACUGAUGACUGAUGUUCUGUGGCUUGCCCCUCGAACUUUACUCACCAACAGUCCACUUAACGAACAAUUAAUACUUAGGAACUAAAUAGUGCCGAUACCAAUACGCGACAUGUAAUACAUCAUGAACACGCAAUACGUCAUUUUUCAAAAAUUAGAGAAUUCCGACACGUUGAAACACAUUAUAUAUUAAAUGUAUAUUUUUCUAUAUACAUUAUAAAUUAUUAUUUUUAUGAUUAUUUUAAUCAAACUAAUUUGAUUCAAAUUUACAAAAAAAUUAAUAAUAAUAAAAGACCCUAAAAUAAAUUUACACUAAAAACAUUAAUUCAUAACUUGUUAAUAUCAUUCACCGUAUCAAUUUGAUAAAUUCAAUUCCAUUUCAAUAAUCCAUAAAAUUUAGAAGAAAAAAACAGUCAAUUCACAUUUUGGACUCGUCUGUUAGAACAUGUCAAAAGAAUAGAGAAAAAAAACUUGAGAAUGAACUAUGUGUCGCUGGAAGUAAGAAUCAGAAAAGAAGAUAAGAUUAGAAUGAACUAUGUGUCGCUGGAAGUAAGAAUCAGAAAAGAAGAUAAGAUUAGAUUUUUCUUCCCAUUUUAUUAUUUAUUUAUUUUUUUUUACAUAUUUAUGUUGUGACUCCUUAUUUAUUGAAAUUUUUUAAAAUUAACCAUAUGCAUCGCGUGUUGGAGAGUGCUGGGAGAGUUGACUAGGUAUUGAAUUUUUCGAUAUGAAUUGUUGGAGUGUUUGAUAAAUCAUAAAGGAUCCGGAGAGUGUCACUUCCUAAAUUAGGAAGCAACGACACAUCUCAUACCAAACACUCUGUAAUUCACCAAACAGGGCCCAAUUAUUGAAAAAAGAAUAUCGUAACGCCAAAAGAAUCAAAAUUCUCAGUAGCACUUGCCUGGCCAUUCGAGUACUGCAUUUUGUGACUGAGGAACUUAUACAGCUUGCAACGCAAGGCCACCUGCGCGAGCUUCUCUUUGCAGACGUUUGCCGACAGCAGCGUCGAGAGCUGUCCCUGAUCGAGCUCAGGGUAAGCCUGGACUAGGUGGUCACUGACCGCAAGGUUUAGGACGCGGUCGCCGACGAACUCUAGCCGCUCGUAGGACGGAGCAUCCAGUAUGGAGGAGUGCGUCAGGGCCUCCUCAAGCAGCUUCGGGUCCUCGAACUUGUAGCGCAGGAUGGCCUCAACUUGGGAGACGGAGGGGCCCCUCUCCGGCGACAGUGAAGGGAGGGAAGUGGGAGAAAACAUCUCUUCGUCUGGAAUGUAGACAAGUUUCUUGAUCAAGUUUGGAUUUUGAUGAGAGAGAGAAUUUGGUGAUUACAGCUUAAACAUUGGCACAUGAUAUCGACACAUCAUUUUUUGAAAAAAUUGAGAAUUCCGACACGCUGGAACAUUUAUAUUAAAUGUAUAUUUCUUUAUAUGUACAUGACAAAUUAUUAUUUUUAUGAUUGCUUUUAAUUAAUUAAUUUGAUUCAAAUUCACAAAUAAAUAAAUAAAUAAUAAAAGAGCUUAUAAUGAAUUUACACUAAAAAUAUUAAUACACCAUUUUUUUAAUAUCAUUCAUUAUUUUAAUUUGACAAAUUCAUAUAUUCUAAUAAUUCAUAAAAAUUAGAGGAAAAAAAAGCAGUUUAUAUUUUGGACUUGCAUAACAAAGCAUGUUGGAAGAGAAACGAAAAAAUGGACUUCGGAGGUGAAUUGUGCGUCACAGGAAAUGAGUCAAAAGAGAAUAAAAAAAUUAGAUUUUUCUUUCUUUCCCAUUUAUUAUUUUUAUUAUUUUUACAUAUUUAUAUUUUAACCCUUUAUUUAUUGAACUCUUUUAAAAGACUUGUGUAUGAUGAAAACACAUGUCGGAAUUCUGAAUUUGCAUGUUGGAACUCCAAACUUGCGUAUCGAAAAGCGUUAAGAGAGUUGAUUAGGCAUCAGAUUUUCCGACACCUGUUGACCAAGUGUCAAAGAGCAUUGGACAUGUGUCGAAGAGUGUUAAACACGUGUCGAAUACGAUACAAAAGCUCUAAGAGAAUAUCAAUACUCUCUAAAUUACCACUAAUCACGUGCAAUUACGUGAUAAAAUUGAAAAAUAGAUCCUAAAAAUGUAAGAAUCGAGAUAUCAUGUAACGAAGUCUUUAAGUUGUUUGAUAAUAGAUGAAAAUUUCUUAGUUUCUCUCCAAUAUAGAAAAUAUUACUGGAAGGUUGUAACAGCUAUCGUCAGUAACAUUUUACUUUUCAAUUGAAUAGUUUAUGACUUAACCAAUUAAGUAAGCUUGCCUUUAUUUAUUGCGUUUGAUUUCUCUAUUGAAAUAACCAAUUAAGUUAUGUAUAAUUAGAAGUUAGGAAAUGAGCUGAAAAUUUUGAUUUUCAGCUCUUAAUUAAUGUGGUUGUCAUAUACACUCUGACUUAUCAAUCUGAGGCCCGCGACUUGGUCAACAAUGACAGUGCAUUUGGUACCGCUUUUUCAAGGGGUUUUUGGUCUCUAAAUACCCCUGGGGAAAUGACAGAUUUUUCCAAGAAGUUUUCAGCUAAAUAUUGAGCUUGGGAAAACUGAAAGCCCAACGCCGGUCCCUACUAGCAUUGGGCUUUCAACAUUUGACCAAAUGCUGAAAUUAAUUUUUUCUUUCAAAACUACCCUUAUCAAUUAUUAAAACUUCUAAUGAAAUUAAUUUUUUCUUUCAAAACUACCCUUAUCAAUUAUUAAAACUUCUAAUUAUCCCUCAUUAUCUAUAAGAGGAUCAAACCCUUUACUGAACUAAUGGAGGGAUACAGUCAUCGACAAGCUAGAUUUGGCAUCGCGGCCAUCGAUUGAGGUCGCUUGACCUUGGGUGACUCUUGAUAAGGGUUGCUCAACCCAAGUGCGCGCAAACCAGGUAGCCACCCUUGCCUAGGUCCCGCAAGGGUGACAUAAGGUCACGCAACCCUCAUCGGAGUUCUCCCAAGGCCAAGCGACCUCAACUAAUGGCUGCCAGCACUAAGUGUGGCUUGUCGAUGGCUAUAGCCCUUCAUUAGUUCCAACAAAGGGUUUGGGUCCUUCUUUAAUAAAAAAAAGAUAGAAAAAAAAUACUCAAAGCCCAUUGCAAAUGUCUUUUUGCCAAAUACAACAUGAACUCAAAGUUCAUUUGCAAAGAAUUUUAACCAAACAUAAUUUGCAUUUUACAAAUAUCUUUGGCUUUCAACAUUUGCAUUGCACUCAAAGUCUAUUUGCAAAACUGAACCAAAAACAUCCUAAGGCCUUUAAUGGAGGUAGACAAAAAGAGAAUGACAGAGAGAGAAGACAAGGGCAAUGGUGAUGGGGAUUGAAUAGGCAGGAAUGGUAGUUUUCUUUUCUUUUUCUUUUUUUAGGCAGGAAUGGUAGUUGAAGGAGGAUUUUUUUUUUUUUUUAAAUAUGCAAAUAGAGGAUUGUGUGACGUCGUCCACAUCAAUGAAUCUCAAUCAACCAUAAUAAUAUGAAAGAACGCAUCCUUUUAUAGUUGCUUGUUUGCAAGCUCAUCACAAGAAUGAGAAAGCAAGACAUGGACUUAUUGGCUCUAUGGGGUUAUCUUAUGGACGAAGCUGCUGCAAAGAAAUAGCAAAGCGUUUCUCUUCACAUUCUUACGCUCGAGGGAGACUCAAAGAUUAUUAGAUUGGUUCAAGGCAAGCAACAUUAGGUAAGCAGCUCACCUCUCUUUCUCUUUUGUGCUUGGUCGUUCAAGACGAGCAACAUUCGGUAAGCAGCACACUUCUCUGCCUCUUUUUUGCUUGAUUUUUUUUCUCCCUUUACAGAGUAGGGGACACCAUCACCCGUAACUAUUUCAACUGUACAAACAUGUUGCUGGGGGUCCGACACCACCGUUCUGCAAGUCAAGAGGACUGACAUCAAGAGAAUAAUUCUACGUGAAAUUUCAGCAGAAAGAAACAGAAAAAGAGAGCACCAACAAUUGGUGAAGAAGGAAAAAAUAGGCACUUGGCAUUUCAUCUCUUUUGAAAAAUACCAAAAAUAAUGUGGCCAUGAUGAGCUCUUACUAGCUUUAUCACUCAUGUAUCUUUUCGUAGAGCAUAUGCAAGACUACCUUGAAGCAAGUAAUAAUUUAGUUAAUAUCAAAGACGAUUGGCCAUAUCACUGAUUCUUGCAAUAAAAAUCCAAAAUAACAGGCAGAGAGGAAAGGAAACUGCCUGGAAGUGUUGACAUCAGCAAAGCGGGAAAAACAAUGGUGAAUAAAUCAAAUGAAGAAGGAAGUGUACUCGUAAUUAGGUUUGUGCCAUUUCUUUUGGACACAAAGCUUGUCUAGCUCCAGUUUGGCUUUCUCAAUUUCCAACGGGCCAUCAAACCCAUGGUUGACAGAUUCAGGGCCAACAAUAGGCCCCAGUAAACCUUUGAAGAUCUGAACAUGUGCCAAACAAAUCUGUUCUAAAAACGACAAUGAUAUUGAAAGGGAUAACUUGAAGAUUAAAAUAAAGGCAUCAUCUUAUUGAAGAAAGAAAUGCCCUGCCUUCCAAAAUCUCUUUAAAUUAGAGCCAACAUCGUAAUAGAUAGCAGCUGCCACAGAUUCUACAAUAUCUGCAAGAAAAUCUGGGGCUUUAACUGAUCCCCCAUCUUCCUCCUCAACUGCUCUAGCAAACUCGCUAACCUGCAAAAUAACUGGAAACAUCCCAUUGAAAAAGAGUGAUAGAGAUACUACCAAGUAACAGAUAAAAACUCAACCUACUUCUCAUUCCCAUAUUAUACAAUUUGUACAUUCACAAUUGCACAUAGAGUUAAAACAGAUAAAUAGAUUGUUGCAUUUCAUUGAGCCAUUAUACUUCCAACUUUCCAGAGAAACAAAGAAUUCGCAAGCAAUAUACCAACCACAGAAAUUUAGUACACAAGGUGGGACUGCUUUGGAUGGUAACGUUGCUUCUGAAAAGUUCCAUAAGGAGGCAGUUUGAAAAUCUCUCGAGAAUCGCACACCGUAGAUCGCGUAGAGAUAGAAUGGAGAUCUUUUCAGCUUAACAUUCUUAUCAUAAAAAUCAAGGUGCAAAGCUUUUUUCUUCUUCUUGUAAACAUUUAAGAAAAAAUGGAGAAUGCAGACUUCAGGUAUGUAAAUGACUAGCCACUAGAGAAGGAAAAACUAUAUUAGGUAUUGAUUACACAAUGUGAGGUGCUGACAUUAUAUCCACAAUUUAUGAAGUGCCAUUGUUCAUUACACAUUGAUCA